Molecule: ribosomal RNA, 513 nt
Filed under: uncultured bacterium
Lineage: Bacteria
Description: partial 16S ribosomal RNA
Rfam family: Bacterial small subunit ribosomal RNA
Source: RNAcentral
AACGAACGCUGGCGGCGUGCCUAACACAUGCAAGUCGAACGUGAAAGUCCUUCGGGAUGAGUAAAGCGGCGCACGGGUGAGUAACACGUAGGUGACCUGCCUUUUAGAGGGGAAUAACCAGAAGAAAUUUUGGCUAAUGCCGCAUACGAAGCACGGUUUUAAGACUGUGCUUGAAAGAAUGCCUCUGCAUAUGCAUUCACUAAAAGAUGGGCCUGCGGAACAUUAGCUAGUUGGUGGGGUAAAGGCCUACCAAGGCAACGAUGUUUAUCCGGUCUGAGAGGAUGAUCGGACACACUGGAACUGAGACACGGUCCAGACUCCUACGGGAGGCAGCAGUGGGGAAUAUUGCGCAAUGGGGGAAACCCUGACGCAGCAACGCCGCGUGAGUGAGGAAGGACUUCGGUCUGUAAAGCUCUGUUAAUGUGGAAAAAUGGUAGUUGGUCUAAUAGGCCGAUUAUUUGAUGGUACACAUAGAGGAAGCACCGGCUAACUUCGUGCCAGCAGCCGCGGUAA